Molecule: long non-coding RNA, 3700 nt
Filed under: Panax ginseng (ginseng)
Lineage: Eukaryota; Viridiplantae; Streptophyta; Magnoliopsida; Apiales; Araliaceae
Description: long non-coding RNA (PGIN_LNC005279)
Source: RNAcentral
CCUUUUAGUGUAUUAUUAGUUAUAUUAUUUAUGGAAUUUUAAAAUCUAAAGUGAUAAACCCUAAUGGUUAUGGGUAAUGUCUAUAAUGCCCUUCAUGGUAGACAUGAGAAGUCUAAACUACCCUUGUGCAUUAUUAAAGGAAGAAACCAAUUAUUAGUGUGGAAAUGACUAAAAUGCCCUUUUUGUCCAUUUAGUGUAUUAUUAGUGUAUUAUUGGAGGAAUCUAGCAACAAAUCAUGGCCAACAUCACUACCCUACCAAUUGAGCAUCCAAGACUCAAUUAUGCUCAGAUUCAAUCAACCAAUCUAGCAUCCAAGGCAUUUGAAUUAUUCUAUAAAUAGAUUGGAGAGAGUUAGCAUUUUUUGUACACUAAAAUUCAUCCAACUCUCAUCCUUAAGCUUCUCUCUCUAAAACCUACGAAUUAUUGUAGCAUAUCAGUCCCUAAACAAAGCCCAACCAUCACAAACAACAAAUCAGAAGCAUCAAGAAGCCAGAAAUCAAAAAUCAAGCUUGAAAAGGUAGGAAAUCCUAAAUUCUAGAAAUCCUUCGAUUCGAUGUUAAUUGAUGCAAUUGAUUGUUUAAAGUAGUGUAAUAGAGAGUCUAUUAAUGUUCUGGGUUGUAAAAUCAUGAACCCAUAACAUCAAAGUGCACGAAUUUGAAGAUUUAAACAAGUUGGAAAAACCGAAUUCUGUUAUUUUUCACCAAAUGUCAGAGGCUAUAAAUCUUUGGUCGAUCUCGAGUUUUGUUUUUUAAAAGUUGUUAUAGGUAGCCUGAUAUGUGGUCUUUAAUCUCCAAAAGGAAUAAAGUUCAUAGCUAUUGUAGAUCGGGAUUUAUAAGCGGUCAAAGUGGGUUGACCGGCAUUGACCGGCUGUUCUUCAAACCCAGAAAAUAUUCUAAGUGUCCAGAAAAUAUUAUUUUGGAAAAUGUCAGGCCUUAUAUCUCGGUUAUCUUUAAUGUGUUUUGUGUUCUAAAGGUUGAUAUGUGUAUCUUGUUAUGUGGUAUUUAACCUCCAAAAAGAAUCAGGUCCAUAUAUAUUACGGAUUAAGAGUUAUUUAAGGUCAAAGUGGGUUGACCGGCAUUGACCAGAAAAUUCUGGGCAGCCCAGAAUUUUCUAAGUGUUAAUUUUUCUGACAAGGUUUGACCAUACUUUAGAUGCUUGAUUUCUUGUUUUUAUGAUGAUGUUAAGUGUUAGAGUUGUAGUCCUACAUGUUGUCUACACACUGGAAUUGAUAGAUCACAUAAACGUUACACGAUCAUCAAGUUAUAGAGGUCCAAAGUAGGCACCUCGAACUGUUCUUCGUGAAGAACAGCUUUGGUAGCUACUUUGAUGGCUGAUUUAUCCCAGAUCUGAUGUUUGUUUAGAGGUUAUGAUUGUUGGAUCUUGUAGUCUUGUAUUUCCUCUACAAGACCCAAUUUAUAGAUUGUCCAAAUUCGUUAAGAUGAGAGAGUUAUUCACGGUCAAAGUAGGCCACUCGGUUCUGCCUUAUGAAGAUCUGGGUAGGCUCAAGAACACCUAUAGCGACACUUCUGUCACUAUAGGGGCCUUUAGCGACAGUUUUAAUUAUUUUAAUUUCUGAUUUUCCGAAAAAUGAUUUAAAAAUUAGAAAAAUUAGAUUUUAAUUAUUAAAAAUACCAAAUAAAUUAUGAAAAAUUAUUUUAAAGUCUGAAAAAUAGUUUUUAAUUAUUUUGAGUAUAUUUCAUAAAUAUUUAAUAUUUUUGGAAUAUAAAAGGUAUUUAUUUAUUUAAUUAUAAUAUUAAAUAAAUGAUUUAAAAAUAGUUUUAAUUCAUGAAAAAUCAUGAAAAAUUAUAUUAUGGUAUAAGAAAAUAUUUUAAGUUAUUUCCCAUGACUUUUAAUAUUUUGUGAUGAAUUUCAUUAAUUAAUUAUAUAUUAAUGAUAUUAAAGUUAUUUAAUGAUUAUAUUAAAUAAUUUAGUUUAAAAAUGAUUUUAAUAUUAUAAAAAUCAUUUUAAAUGAAAUUAAGGUAUUUAAAAAUAUUUUAAGUUAUAAAAUAUAACUUUUAAUAUUUAAAGGAUAAUUUCAUUAAUAAUUUAAUAUUAAUGAUAUUAAGAUAAUAUUAAUGAUAUUUAGUUUAUUUAAUAAUUAUUAUUAAAUAAAUAGUUUAAAAAUGGUUUUAUUUAUUUAAAAAUCAUUUAAAGAGGAUAUUAAGGAUUUAAAAAUAUUUUAAGUUAUAAUUAAUGACUUUUAAUAUUUGGAUGAAUAGUACAUUAAUAUUUAUAUAUUAAUGGUGAUUAUUUAAAAAUGAUUUUAAUUGUUUUAAAAAUCAUUUAAGGGUAAUAUAAAUGUUUUAAAAAUAGUUUGAGUUAUUAUAAAUAACUUUUAUAUUUUGGCAAUGGUUUCAUUAAUAGUUUAAUAUAAAUUAAUUAUUAAUGAUAAUGGAAUUGUUUAAUGUUUAAAUCAUUUAAUUAUGAUUCCGAUGUUUGAAAGUUAUAGCCGGCCAAACUAGCUGACUUGAGAACCGAUUAUGAAGUUAUGAAGUUUUGAGGAACACCUAUAGUAACAGUUAUAUCACUAUAGGCCCGGUAGUGACAGAUUUGAAUUAUUUUAAAUUUUUCAAUUUCUGGAAAAUUCGAAAAUGAUUAAAAAUAAAAUGUUUGAUAUUUACAGAUGUUGAGGUAUAGGAUAAGAGUCUUAGACUCAGUAUUUACCCGAUAAAGCUGUCGGUACGCCGACAAAUGUCAGACCCUAUAAUAGAAAGAAAAGACUUCUGUAAGAGCAUGGAUGAGAUAUUUGAAAAAUGUAUAAAAAUAUUUCAAGUAUAGAAUAUGAACUAAAAGUAUGAUCACUGCGAUUAUGUGAUGACGUGAUUAGACUAUGUGCUGACUGUAAUAGACAGUACUAUGUGUUAUGAUAUAUUGUUCUAAUCGAACGAAUGAUCUGAUUAUUGAUAGGUUGUGAUAAAGAGAUAAAACCUAAGUUGAGAUUUGUAAUCAGCGAAUCAGGCAAGUAUCUUACCUUUGCAUUUCCUUUAUGCAAUGGACAUGAGUAAGAAGUUUCAGAAUUAUUCUAUUCCUGUACAGAUUAUGUACGCUUUGAUUAUCAACAUGUUAGCUCAGAUAUAUAUUCUGUUAAGUUGAUUUCUAAAUGGUUAUACAAGUGUCCCCACUUGGAUAAUCAUGGCAUUUAUUCACAUGUUGAUAUACCUUUGUCAAUUACCCGUAUACAUAUAUGUUGAAUUACAUAUUAUUGUUGAGCAAGAUUAAAAACCUUCGGGUUUGGAACCAGGCAUGUAUGAACAUCCCGAUAAUGGGAAAAUUUUUAUGCGCUUCGGCGGACAAAGGGUGAGCGAUGAAUUUCGUUCAAGUUAUGUAGUAUUGAUCAAUACAGGGUACAACGGGGCUGAUCACCCUCCGUGCCCGUAAGUUAUGACGGUUUGCGGAUGAAUUUCUGCUAAACCUUUUCGAAAAUGAAAAACAAUGUUCAUAGUAUGUUUCUUAAACCCUAUUCAUGGGUGGAGCCUAAUUUCAAGAAAUUGAAAGAGAGUUGUUAUGUGAAUCUUUUAUCAGUACAGAUUACUUCACAACUUUUGAUUCGUUGUAGAAGUGUUAUGUAAAGAGAAUACUUAUAUUCUUUCAGCUUAUAUAUAUAAUUGCUAUUACUUGCUGGGCACUCAAAUGCUCAUCCUUGCUUAAAUUAAAUGUUUUCAGUUAUGUAUGAGCAACCUGAAGGCUCAGGCACGAACAA